This 289-nucleotide signal recognition particle RNA is filed under the name Callithrix jacchus (white-tufted-ear marmoset). RNAcentral describes it as "Metazoan signal recognition particle RNA (ENSCJAG00000047036.3)". It matches the Rfam family "Metazoan signal recognition particle RNA". From Rfam's summary of the family: The signal recognition particle (SRP) is a universally conserved ribonucleoprotein. It is involved in the co-translational targeting of proteins to membranes. The eukaryotic SRP consists of a 300-nucleotide 7S RNA and six proteins: SRPs 72, 68, 54, 19, 14, and 9. The record is from RNAcentral. Lineage: Eukaryota; Metazoa; Chordata; Mammalia; Primates; Cebidae.
GCCUCAGUGGCAUAUGUCUGUAGUCCCAGCUACUUGAGAGGCUGAGGCUGGAGGAUAGCUUAAAUCCAGGAGUACUGGGCUGUAGUGCAUUAUGCCGAAGUGGGUGUCCGCACUAAGUUCGGCAUCAAUAUGGUGACCUCCCGGGACCACCAGGUUGCCUAAGGAGGGGUGAACCAGCCGAGGUCAGAAACGGAGCAGGUCGAAACUCCCAUGCUGAUCAGUAGUAGGAUCAUGCCUGUGAAUAGCCACUGCACUCCAGCCUGAGCAACAUGGCAAGAUCUCAUCUCUU